This 73-nucleotide transfer RNA is filed under the name Mus musculus (house mouse). RNAcentral's name for it is "tRNA-Ser". Lineage: Eukaryota; Metazoa; Chordata; Mammalia; Rodentia; Muridae. The record is from RNAcentral.
GGAGAGGUAGCUCAGUGGUUAAGAGCACUGACUGCUCUUCCAGAAAUCCUGAGUUCAAUUCCCAGCAACCACA